GGACCCGCACAAGCGGUGGAGCAUGUGGUUUAAUUCGACGCAACGCGAAGAACCUUACCUGGGUUAAAUCGUGGGUGCAAAGUGCAGAGAUGCACUCCCCGGGCAACCGGCGCCCACGAAGGUGCUGCAUGGCUGUCGUCAGCUCGUGUCGUGAGAUGUUGGGUUAAGUCCCGCAACGAGCGCAACCCUUACCACUAGUUGCCAGCAUUUAGUUGGGCACUCUAGCGGAACUGCCGGUGAUAAACCGGAGGAAGGUGGGGAUGACGUCAAGUCAUCAUGGCCUCUAUGUCCAGGGCUACACACGUGCUACAAUGGCCGGUACAAACCGUUGCGAACCUGUGAGGGGGAGCCAAUCGGAAAAAGCCGGUCUCAGUUCGGAUUGGAGUCUGCAACUCGACUCCAUGAAGUUGGAAUCGCUAGUAAUCGCAGAUCAGCACGCUGCGGUGAAUACGUUCCCGGGUCUU
This 464-nucleotide ribosomal RNA is filed under the name uncultured bacterium. RNAcentral describes it as "bacterial SSU rRNA". It matches the Rfam family "Bacterial small subunit ribosomal RNA", at positions 917 to 1382 of the family's 1533-position model. The record is from RNAcentral.